CAGCGAAGUUCUGGUUAGGAUCUCCCGCCAGGUUCUGUGACCAUGUUCUCUUGCUAGGUUCUCCAGCCAGGUUUUCCAGGUUCUCCAGCCAAGUUCUGUCACCAGGUUCUCUAGCCAGGUUCUAUCCAGGUUCUCCUGCCAAGUUCUGUCCAGGUUCUCCUGCCAGGUUCUGUAGCCAGGUUCUGUCCAGGUUCUGUUGCCAUGUUCUCUCGCUAGGUUUUCCAGCCAGGUUCUGUCACCAGG
This is a long non-coding RNA of Myotis daubentonii (Daubenton's bat), 243 nucleotides long. RefSeq lists it as uncharacterized. The record is from RefSeq and is a predicted model, not a curated record. Lineage: Eukaryota; Metazoa; Chordata; Mammalia; Chiroptera; Vespertilionidae. The transcript has 3 exons.